GCAGCCGCGGUAACACCGGCAGCUCGAGUGGUAGCUGUUUUUAUUGGGCCUAAAGCGUUCGUAGCCGGUUUGAUAAGUCUUUGGUGAAAGCUUGUAGCUUAACUAUAAGAAUUGCUGGAGAUACUAUUAGACUUGAAGUCGGGAGAGGUUAGAGGUACUACCGGGGUAGGGGUGAAAUCCUAUAAUCCUGGGAGGACCACCUGUGGCGAAGGCGUCUAACUGGAACGAUCUUGACGGUGAGUAACGAAAGCCAGGGGCGCGAACCGGAUUAGAUACCCC
Molecule: ribosomal RNA, 279 nt
Filed under: uncultured Methanosphaera sp.
Lineage: Archaea; Methanobacteriati; Methanobacteriota; Methanobacteria; Methanobacteriales; Methanobacteriaceae
Description: partial 16S ribosomal RNA
Rfam family: Archaeal small subunit ribosomal RNA
Source: RNAcentral